GCUCCCGUGGUGGAAUUGGUAUACACGCAUGUCUUAGGAACAUGUCCCGCAAGGGGUAGAGGUUCGAGUCCUCUCGGGAGCACAA
RNAcentral lists this transfer RNA (85 nucleotides) under Candidatus Staskawiczbacteria bacterium RIFCSPHIGHO2_01_FULL_41_41. RNAcentral describes it as "tRNA-Leu". It matches the Rfam family "tRNA". Rfam says of the family: Transfer RNA (tRNA) molecules are approximately 80 nucleotides in length. Their secondary structure includes four short double-helical elements and three loops (D, anti-codon, and T loops). The record is from RNAcentral. Lineage: Bacteria; Candidatus Staskawicziibacteriota. RNAcentral also lists the same sequence under 2 other names.